GACAAGGUUCCAGGCCCUACGGGGUGCAGCAGGCGCGAAACCUCCGCAAUGUGAGAAAUCGCGACGGGGGGAUCCCAAGUGCCAUUCUUAACGGGAUGGCUUUUCAUUAGUGUAAAGAGCUUUUGGAAUAAGGGCUGGGCAAGACCGGUGCCAGCCGCCGCGGUAACACCGGCAGCUCUAGUGGUAGCAGUUUUUAUUGGGCCUAAAGCGUCCGUAGCCGGUUUAAUAAGUCUCUGGUGAAAUCCUGUAGCUUAACUGUGGGAAUUGCUGGAGAUACUAUUAGACUUGAGACCGGGAGAGGUUAGAGGUACUCCCAGGGUAGAGGUGAAAUUCUGUAAUCCUGGGAGGACCGCCUGUUGCGAAGGCGUCUAACUGGAACGGUUCUGACGGUGAGGGACGAAAGUUAGGGGCGCGAACCGGAUUAGAUACCCGGGUAGUCCUAACUGUAAACGAUGCGGACUUGGUGUUGGGGUGGCUUUGAGCUGCUCCAGUGCCGAAGGGAAGCUGUUAAGUCCGCCGCCUGGGAAGUACGGUCGCAAGACUGAAACUUAA
RNAcentral lists this ribosomal RNA (552 nucleotides) under uncultured archaeon. RNAcentral's name for it is "bacterial SSU rRNA". It matches the Rfam family "Archaeal small subunit ribosomal RNA", at positions 307 to 859 of the family's 1478-position model. The record is from RNAcentral.